This 382-nucleotide long non-coding RNA is filed under the name Homo sapiens (human). RNAcentral describes it as "non-protein coding lnc-AIRE-3:1". The record is from RNAcentral. Lineage: Eukaryota; Metazoa; Chordata; Mammalia; Primates; Hominidae.
GGCGCGGGUCCUGGGGCUGUCUCUGGGUCCUGAGGGCUGUGAGGGGCAUUUACAUCCUGUCCAGGCGGUAACAGGAGGAGCCUUAGUCUUGGGAUGCUGUGUGCUGCUUUCCUCUCAAAGGGAGGCAAGGCUGAGAGCUUCCCUGAAUCUGCUGCCUAGUGGGCUUUAGCUCAGAAACAUCCACAUCUAAGAGGCAGAUUUUGAGAUGAGACAUUCUGAUAUAGCGGCCCAGGGAAGACUUCCCCUCCGUCCCAUGAAGGUUCUUGGAAGAAUCCACUUGCGAAAAGCGGAUUAAUAGGGCAGAGGUGCUGGCAUUCAUUGUGAAUAGGCAUGGAGAGGUAGGGCGAAGAUGCUGACCUGCCCUCCUCCCAGGGAAAGGGGC